RNAcentral lists this ribosomal RNA (490 nucleotides) under uncultured bacterium. RNAcentral's name for it is "partial 16S ribosomal RNA". It matches the Rfam family "Bacterial small subunit ribosomal RNA", at positions 30 to 507 of the family's 1533-position model. The record is from RNAcentral.
AUUGAACGCUGGCGGCAGGCCUAACACAUGCAAGUCGAACGGUAACAGGAAGAAGCUUGCUUCUUUGCUGACGAGUGGCGGACGGGUGAGUCAUGUCUGGGAAACUGCCUGAUGGAGGGGGAUAACUACUGGAAACGGUAGCUAAUACCGCAUAACGUCGCAAGCCCAAAGAGGGGGACCUUCGGGCCGCUUGCCAUCGGAUGUGCCCAGAUGGGAUGAGCUAGUAGGUGGGGUAACGGCUCACCUAGGCGACGAUCCCUAGCUGGUCUGAGAGGAUGACCAGCCACACUGGAACUGAGACACGGUCCAGACUCCUACGGGAGGCAGCAGAGGGGAAUAUUGCACAAUGGGCGCAAGCCUGAUGCAGCCAUGCCGCGUGUAUGAAGAAGGCCUUCGGGUUGUAAAGUACGUUCAGCGGGGAGGAAGGGAGUAAAGUUAAUACCUUUGCUCAUUGACGUUACCCGCAGAAGAAGCACCGGCUAACUCCGUG